GAUGAACGCUGGCGGCGUGCCUAAUACAUGCAAGUCGAGCGAACGGACGAGAAGCUUGCUUCUCUGGUGUUAGCGGCGGACGGGUGAGUAACACGUGGAUAGCCUACCUAUAAGACUGGGAUAACUUCGGGAAACCGGAGCUAAUACCGGAUGAUAUUUUGAACCGCAUGGUUCAAAAGUGAAAGACGGUCUUGCUGUCACUUAUAGAUGGAUCCGCGCUGCAUUAGCUAGUUGGUAAGGUAACGGCUUACCAAGGCAACGAUGCAUAGCCGACCUGAGAGGGUGAUCGGCCACACUGGAACUGAGACACGGUCCAGACUCCUACGGGAGGUAGCAGUGGGGAAUCUUCCGCAAUGGGCGAAAGCCUGACGGAGCAACGCCGCGUGAGUGAUGAAGGUCUUCGGAUCGUAAAACUCUGUUAUUAGGGAAGAACAUAUGUGUAAGUAACUGUGCACAUCUUGAUGGUACCUAAUCAGAAAGCCACGGCUAACUACGUG
This 497-nucleotide ribosomal RNA is filed under the name uncultured bacterium. RNAcentral's name for it is "partial 16S ribosomal RNA". It matches the Rfam family "Bacterial small subunit ribosomal RNA", at positions 28 to 507 of the family's 1533-position model. The record is from RNAcentral.